UUACAGAAUGAAAGUGCUUAACUGCAUUUUUUCUUACACAUGUGUUUUUCUUUUUUUGAAAACUUUGCUUUGGUAGGCCUUCUAUAUGGGGCCUGCCAGAGAUUAAACUCAACCAAAUUUUAUUUAAUGUCAACCGAUUAUUUAAUAGUCAAAACUUUCAACAACGGAUCUCUUGGUUCUCGCAUCGAUGAAGAACGCAGCGAAAUGCGAUAAGUAAUAUGAAUUGCAGAUAUUCGUGAAUCAUCGAAUCUUUGAACGCACAUUGCGCCCUUUGGUAUUCCAAAGGGCAUGCCUGUUUGAGCGUCAUUUCUCCCUCAAACCCUCGGGUUUGGUGUUGAGCGAUACGCUGGGUUUGCUUGAAAGAAAGGCGGAGUAUAAACUAAUGGAUAGGUUUUUUCCACUCAUUGGUACAAACUCCAAAACUUCUUCCAAAUUCGACCUCAAAUCAGGUAGGACUACCCGCUGAACUUAAGCAUAUCAAUAAGCGGAGGA
This 492-nucleotide ribosomal RNA is filed under the name Lodderomyces parapsilosis. RNAcentral describes it as "eukaryotic LSU rRNA". The stretch from base 153 to 306 matches the Rfam family "5.8S ribosomal RNA". Lineage: Eukaryota; Fungi; Ascomycota; Pichiomycetes; Serinales; Debaryomycetaceae. The record is from RNAcentral.